Molecule: long non-coding RNA, 2568 nt
Filed under: Acanthaster planci (crown-of-thorns starfish)
Lineage: Eukaryota; Metazoa; Echinodermata; Asteroidea; Valvatida; Acanthasteridae
Description: uncharacterized LOC110990654
Source: RNAcentral
UGUUUUACACUUGCAUAAUUAUGUACUGGAAAGGUCAAUCUGUCUGUACAUGGAAACAAAGUUGAAAAAGAUUGCAUUUUUGGAAUGCUGGUUUGGCGAAGCUAUAUAUAUACGUGGCGUGCACGUUACACGUAUUUCAGGAAAGAGGAGUACUAUCACCUCUUGGCUGAGAAGAUCUACAAGAUCCAGAAGGAGCUGCAGGUGAAGCAACAGAAGAGGAUGUAGGAUUCAGGAGGUACUGAUGCUGCCGCUGGAGGCUUCCCCAUGACGGCAGCAGCGCAGCUGCCCCAGCCUCAACAAUAACUGCCGAGACAAGUACAUCCACUGGGAAAAUGCAGCUCUUUCAACCAACUUAUAUCAGAAUUAUGAUGUACAUAACUACAUGUAUAUGGUCUUAGAGGGUUAUUUUGGUGUCAGUGUUGCUUUGGCUCAGCAAUGAAAAGUGGACUGGUAGAAUGGGGCGUCAGGUUGGCAUUGUGACACUUUCAUCACCUUCCACUUCUGUGAAUUCAGCCCAGGUUAUCAUGUGGAUUUUUCAGUCUUUACUUAACUUUGUGGGUUUUUCUCUAUAAUGUUCAUGUGGAGUUUUUCCUUCCACUUCUAAAACUGAACACUAUCCUCAUAUAUCUGCAGUUGUAAUUUGAAGUUGUAGAUCCUCACAUUUCUCAAGUGGUUACUGGCAGCCCUUUGAAAAACAUCCUGGAGAUUAUUUUGCUACCAUCAAUAAAUAAAGCUGGAAUUUUUAUUGUUAUUGUUGUUGAAAUUACACAGGGGAAAUGUUAUUGUUUAAGGUAGCAGGGCCAGGUUUGUUUCUAAAUGUGGUCAUAAUACAGACUGAUCAUUUGUGGUUCACUCCGUCAAGGAAGUCUGUACACAGGUUAACAUAAAUUUGGUGUGUAAUUUCUACUUACAGUUUUAUUUCAAUUCCAAACAUCUGUAACUUUUUAAGUUAUCACUGAAUAAUCAAGACCUUUUCUUUAUUUGUAGUUUUCUAAAGGUUUUAUUUUACUUCAUAUUUGAACAGUGGUGUCACCCAUAGAUCAUCGUGCAAUUUUAUGACUGCAGAUGAAUUGACUCAGAGUGUGUACAAAAUGCAGAUGUAAAACAAAAAUUGUUCGAUGUAAACAGCAAAUAAAAGUGUAAUGCAAAUGCAAAUUUAUGUUUUGAAACACAUUCCGUAUCUCAGUAUGUAGAAUGAAGAUGUCAGUUGUACUCAUUGUCAGUAAAUGUAACUAACUCAAGCUUAAAAUUGUAUUUCUAAUAGGAGCUUCACUCAUCACUGGGUGCUUCUGAAAAACUUGUAUCUCUUUUUUCCGCACACAACUGUUCUUGCUUAUUGUCUUGAUCAUGUCCUAAACAAAACUUUUGCCACAAAUAAAUUAGAUUGCUAAUUUGAUUGACAAACUAACAGAUAUUUACAUGUAUGUACAUAGGGUCUGCUGCUUGCCAAAGAGAAAACAAAUGAAAUGGGAAGGGGGAGGUUCAACAGCAACUCUUAAACUUCAAGGUCCCUUUUCCUUGAAUGUCUGUAUUUAAACAAGAUAUGCUCUUAUUUUUAUUUUUCUAAAUCCACUUUAGACAAGAGUGCAUGUUGCCAUUAUCUGGCCAUCCGUUUACACAGGUACAAGCUAAUGGUUUCAAACAUCAAGCAUAAGUUGACUUGAUCAACUCGACUGACAUUUAAACAGGUCAGUGGUCUGUUUUUUUUUUUUUCAAGCACACACAAAGUCUGAGAAGUCUGUGGAGGUACACUGUGUGUUGAAUUUGAACUUGGCAGCCGUACAUAUAUGGCCCUGUUGUCACGGUAGUAUAUACCGCUCCAUGGGCAUGUCCCACAUUGUUGAAAAGUAUGAGGUUGUUGUAAGAAAUAUGUGGUACAAAUACUCUUCAAAUGACUCGUGUAAAUCAGUAUUUAUGGUAUUUGGCUCUGUUGGUGGCUGUAUCUUACCUUUUUCAAGAGUUGAAAUUUUUGGCUAAAAAGUAUACCCACCUGCAAGUGGACAAGAGGAAAGGGGUGGAAGAUUUGAGAAGUUAAGUGCUAUUCAUGUUUCUUCAUUUCCACUUAUUUGAUUUCUUUUUCACAAACGGAAGAUUCACCAUCCAAUUUGCCAUACAUGGUUCUGAAAGUCACAGAUUUGAGUCUUAAGAUGGCAACACCUUGUGAUAGAAGAAUAAAAUAGAAAGCUUUAAGGGUUUAGUACUGAACAGGUCCAGUCUCCCUCGGGAAACUUCUUAAAGCCUUUGGUCUAUGCAUUUUGUAUUCCAAAAUGGUCCACCAAUCAAAAAUGGGCUUGUAUGAUGUGUCAAACUUACGUAAAAUAAAUACAAGCCCUUUGCCUUGUAGACAUUUUGGAGAAAUAUGGGUUAGAGAGUACAUAUUGGAUCUUGUAUGGCCUGUUCUAUGCCACUCAAGGUCAAUACACUUGAGGCAAACCAUCAGAAUUUGUGUGCACAAAUGAUUUUUAAGUCUAGAGUAGUAUUCCGUGUAAUGUUUGUUAUUUCUGUAAUCAGUGUAAUAGUCUGAGGAUUUUAAUUGAAUGAAAUAAAAUAUGUGGCCUGAGACAUUAA